This 212-nucleotide non-coding RNA is filed under the name Uncinocarpus reesii 1704. RNAcentral's name for it is "Eukaryotic large subunit ribosomal RNA". It matches the Rfam family "Eukaryotic large subunit ribosomal RNA", at positions 3183 to 3401 of the family's 3401-position model. Lineage: Eukaryota; Fungi; Ascomycota; Eurotiomycetes; Onygenales; Onygenaceae. The record is from Rfam by way of RNAcentral.
UGGAUACGAAUAGGCUUCGGGGCAAUGACAGCAGGUUGGCGGCGGUGUCCGGGGAGAGACCCUCGGGCGCCAGCUAACGGAUUGCAAUGUCACAACGCGCGGGGAUAGAUCCUCUGCAGACGACUGAAAUGACCAAGCGGGUCGUGUAAGCGGUCAAGUAGCCUAGUUGUUACGAGUCGCUGAGCGUCAGCCCGAUCCUUGGCUCGAUUUGU